Mugil cephalus (flathead mullet) is the source of this 443-nucleotide long non-coding RNA. RefSeq lists it as uncharacterized. Lineage: Eukaryota; Metazoa; Chordata; Actinopteri; Mugiliformes; Mugilidae. The transcript is spliced from 3 exons. The record is from RefSeq and is a predicted model, not a curated record.
AGCCUUUCCCAGCAAAGAACUUCAUUCAAGGAGGGGGAGACGGUGAAUUACUACCUCCCACGAAAAAGCCCAGUUCAAUGAGGACAGAAGGACCAGGGCCAGGGGUAAAUGCCGUGACUGCCUCCACUGUACCAACCAAGCGGACUCUAGGAAUCAAUGGCGUUGAUGUGGUCCACUAAAAUUGCCAGUGACGGUGUGUUUGGCAGAAUCUUGCCACAUCCUUCCACGGUGCAGAGGAUGUUCGUCCUCACUUCUUUGGUCAGCUCCACGAUGUCCGUCCUGUGUUUGGCGAAUAGCCCGGGCAGCAUGAAUGAACAGAGGCAUACCGUCCCUCCGCUUUGACUGACAGGCUCCCACUCACUGAAGGCUGGGAAAAGCUGCGCCUACGUCACAUCCAGGAUGCGUUCAUACUUCCGUUUUACAAAAUAAAAGUUUGAAAUUUG